GCAGUGGUGAUUCAGUGGUGGAAGCCUUGCCUUCCAUAUGGGAGACUCAGGUUCGAUUCCUGGCCAAUGCC
This 71-nucleotide transfer RNA is filed under the name Loxodonta africana (African savanna elephant). It matches the Rfam family "tRNA". Rfam says of the family: Transfer RNA (tRNA) molecules are approximately 80 nucleotides in length. Their secondary structure includes four short double-helical elements and three loops (D, anti-codon, and T loops). Lineage: Eukaryota; Metazoa; Chordata; Mammalia; Proboscidea; Elephantidae. The record is from Rfam by way of RNAcentral.